Molecule: ribosomal RNA, 795 nt
Filed under: uncultured Acaulosporaceae
Lineage: Eukaryota; Fungi; Glomeromycota; Glomeromycetes; Diversisporales; Acaulosporaceae
Description: eukaryotic LSU rRNA
Rfam family: Eukaryotic large subunit ribosomal RNA
Source: RNAcentral
GUCAAGUGAGAAUACCCGCUGAACUUAAGCAUAUCAAUAAGCGGAGGAAAAGAAACUAACAAGGAUUCCCUCAGUAACGGCGAGUGAACCGGGAAAAGCUCAAAUUUAAAAUCGCUUGGGUUUACCUGAGUGAGUUGUAAUUUGAAGAAAGUGUUUCGACUUUUCGGGUUUGAUCCAAAUCCUUUGGGAUGAGGUAUCAUAGAGGGUGAGAAUCCCGUUCAUGAUUGAACCUGAGUUGUCAAUUGAUUCAUUUUCUAAGAGUCGAGUUGUUUGGGAUUGCAGCUCAAAAUGGGUGGUAAACUUCACCUAAGGCUAAAUAUCUGCAAGAGACCGAUAGCGAACAAGUACCGUGAGGGAAAGAUGAAAAGAACUUUGAAAAGAGAGUUAAAAAGUACGUGAAAUUGUUGAAAGGGAACGAUUGAAGUCAGUCAUGCUAGCGAGGAAUCAACUUGGUGGUGUGAGUCUCUCAUCUCCUCCGUGUGCACUUCCUCGUCUGGCAGGUUAGCAUCAAUUUUGAUUGUCAUCAAAUAAUUGGGGGUAAUGUGGCUUCUCUUCGGUGGAGUGUUAUAGACCCUGGUGGAUGUGACGAUUGGGAUUGAGGAUUGCAGCGGAUGCCCCUUGGCUAGUCACCUGAUUCCUGGCUGUCACCUCGCUUUCGACAGCUUGCUGACGAUCGUGGGACUCGGCGGUCUAGGUGUCGGUCCGAUCUUAAAUUCGCUAAGGAUGCUGACGUAAUGGCUUUAAACGACCCGUCUUGAAACACGGACCAAGGAGUCUAACAUGUGUGCGAGUGUU